Molecule: ribosomal RNA, 433 nt
Filed under: uncultured bacterium
Lineage: Bacteria
Description: partial 16S ribosomal RNA
Rfam family: Bacterial small subunit ribosomal RNA
Source: RNAcentral
AACGAACGCUGGCGGCAUGCCUAACACAUGCAAGUCGAACGAGACCUUCGGGUCUAGUGGCGCACGGGUGCGUAACGUGUGGGAACCUGCCCUUAGGUUCGGAAUAACUCCCCGAAAGGGGUGCUAAUACCGGAUAAUGUCUUCGGACCAAAGAUUUAUCGCCUUUGGAUGGGCCCGCGUUGGAUUAGCUAGUUGGUAGGGUAAAAGCCUACCAAGGCGACGAUCCAUAGCUGGUCUGAGAGGAUGAUCAGCCACACUGGGACUGAGACACGGCCCAGACUCCUACGGGAGGCAGCAGUGGGGAAUAUUGGACAAUGGGCGAAAGCCUGAUCCAGCAAUGCCGCGUGAGUGAUGAAGGCCUUAGGGUUGUAAAGCUCUUUUACCCGGGAUGAUAAUGACAGUACAGGGAGAAUAAGCUCCGGCUAACUCCGUG